GAAAAGAAAAAACAACGGUCAACAAAUUCAUUAAAGCAACUCAAAAAAAUGCGAGCUCUACUCUCACCAGAAUCUUCUUCUCUUUAUUUCACUUCAAUCAAUAUCGUUUCUCGAGAUCCAAAUCCAUGCCGAUCUCGGACCUCUCUUUAUUUCUUGAAAAGAGACGGCGGCUGCCAUUUGAUUCGCCGGAAACCUCGUUCGACCGCCGUGAAGGCGGUGCUUGAUUCGGCGACUAUAGAGGAGCAGGUCUUAAAGAAUCUGAUAUGAGAAAUCCGGCGAUUUCUUCUACUUAUCGGAGGUCUAUGUUGCCGAAGCCGAAUCAAACGGUGUUGGAAGCUCAAGCGAGGAUUUGUACUGGACCUACGCAGACUAGACCGCUCUCGGAAGAACAGGCGUUUAAGGUUUUGGAUACAAUUUUGGAUUCCUUUUCAUACGGCACUUAUUUCGUGCAUGCAUUACAUGUUUUUCCACUCGUCUUUUUUUCCCUCUUUUUUCAUGCAUUAUCAUUUGAAGGUAUUAUCAUUAUUUUUUCCUUUAUAUAUCAUUCGAUGGUUAAGUUUGACAGUUUUUCUAAUAUGAUAUUUGAGUUAUUUUUUAGUCUAAUUUAAUACUUGAACAGAAAUUUAAGUUUUGAUAAUUAAUUUUUUAUUGUUUAAUUCGAGUUUUAAAAUUGAUUCAAUGAAAAUUAAUUAUUAAUACUAUUAGAUUUGAAUUUUUUUAUGAUUUUGCUAAUACAAUAAAUUUAGUGUUAAUUGUGAAUUGUUUAAUUUUGAUCAACUCUAAAACUCAAAUUAAAUACUAAUUAAAAAGUUAACAUCAUUACCUUUUGAUAUUAAAAUAUAUAAUUUUUGUCAAAUAUAAAUACUGGACAAAAAAAUAACACAUGUACCAUCUUUUAAAAAAAUCAAAUUUAAAUACUAAAUUAUGUAUUAAGGCUAAUAUUUAUUAUUAUGUAUUUCCACUUAAAGUUAUUGUUAUCGAAUCACAAAUAAAAACCCUUUUUAUUCGAAUAGUUACGACUUUUCAAUGAACCAAUUCUAUUUGAUUUUUUUUCUAUUUUUUUCCUUUUUGGGUAUUCAACCAAAAACCAAAUAUUGUUUUAAUUCACUGUAUAAUCUACUCUAAAGAAACAAAUUGCCAUUUCCUCUUCCCCUAUAUAUAUGUAUGCAUGAAUGUACCCAUAUACCUCAUUACACCCACAGUAAACUUAUUUGUAGAAAAGUUUGGUUUUAAUCUCUUAUAAAGAAAAGCCAAGAUGGUGGUCGGCUUGGUCGAGACGGCUGUUCCGGCAGCCAAAUCCACAGUUUCCUCCGCCGUGAAGAAACCUACUACUCUCUCCUCGGACCCUAUCAUCAAUGUUGCACGGUUAGUCCACUGCUUCCAUUGGUUGCUUUUACGUUAAUAUUUUGCUUUAUUCAUUUCAUGCAAUGUCUUUAAAAGAUAACAAAAUUUUUACCAUCCUUCAUGGACUCUAAAUCUAGAGUCUAACAAUUUUCCCUUGAUGCAUCCAUCCAAUGGCAGAUAUUGAGACUUAAGUUUUGGGGGGUUUAAGUAAAAUUUUCAAAUAAAUUAAAAGACAUUAUGAAGAUUUUCAAAAAUUUGGAGGAGCUAAAUUAAAAUUUUCAACAAGUUUCAAGGGAAAAAUGAAUUUUUCCAAAUAAAAUUAGGAGGGGGCAAGGCCCCCUUUGGCCUCCAUUACGGUUCGCCAUAGCAUGCAUGCAUUUGCUAUGUAAUGAAUAGUGAAGGGAUAAUUAAAACCCAAAACUUAACUCAGUUAGUACAUGCAGCGGUGAUCCUACGAUUUACGAGCCGUACUGGAAGAAGAUGGGAGAUAGGUGUAAAGUGGUUAUUGCUGGAGAUGAAUUCAUGAGCUACUUUUGCAAUGCGAUGAACCUAUGUUGGUUUUUGCUGCCGGAGCUCGACAAUGCCAUUCGGACACUGCAUCGUGUCGUUGGGAAUGCCAUGGUCGAUGAUGAUAGGUUCAUCGUUGUCGGGAAUGGCUCGACCCAGCUCUUCCAUGCUUUGCUAUACGCCCUCUCGUCUCCUGAUAUGCCUGAACCUAUUAACGUGGUCGCUGCCGCCCCUUUCUACUCGGUAAGCAUACAAUUGUAGCCGUUAGUGUAUAUUAUAUAUAUAUUUGGUUUUAACGUAUUUUUUGAAUAUAUUUUCAUAUAUAAUUUUACUUUAUUUUCAAUUUUUAAUAAAAUAUAUAUUAUAUAUACAAAUAGAAAUAUCCAUGUUUUAAUUAUGGUCUAAUUCUAACCCAGUCCUUGAAGGGUCAUUCUGCUUUUUAUUUCAGCCAUCAAUUGAUUAAAUAGCACGUGCACGGAUCGGUGCUGCCAAAACUACGUCGUUUUAACUUUUCUUUACUAACCUCUAUUUACUAUUUCUUUUACCUUGUAACUUGCAGUCAUAUCCAGAGGAGACGAAGUUCCUGCGAUCGGAGCUGUCUAAAUGGGCAGGCGAUGCAAAUUGCUACGAUAAANNNNNNNNNNNNNNNNNNNNNNNNNNNNNNNNNNNNNNNNNNNNNNNNNNNNNNNNNNNNNNNNNNNNNNNNNNNNNNNNNNNNNNNNNNNNNNNNNNNNNNNNNNNNNNNNNNNNNNNNNNNNNNNNNNNNNNNNNNNNNNNNNNNNNNNNNNNNNNNNNNNNNNNNNNNNNNNNNNNNNNNNNNNNNNNNNNNNNNNNNNNNNNNNNNNNNNNNNNNNNNNNNNNNNNNNNNNNNNNNNNNNNNNNNNNNNNNNNNNNNNNNNNNNNNNNNCCCUAGAUUAUACUUAUCAUCCUGGGACAAAAAAAAAAGCUUUAAGUAUUAAAUUCGGGGGUUAAAUGAUGACAUAAGCCAUAAGUGCCAAAUUAAACAUUAAAACAAAACUCAGGUAUCAAAUUAAAUAUUAAAACCAAACUCAAGUACCAAAUAGUAUAUUAACCCUAAAAGUAUCCACUUUAUAAUAAGCUCAUACAUUUUUCAUCGUAAAUGAUCUGCUUUUGAUAACUCUACAGCUGGGCUAUUGUUAAAGACAAAGUGAUCGCCGCCAAGAUGGUAAAGUUUAUAGAGGUGAGCAGCAUCGGCGUAUCCAGAGAAGCCCAACUCCGUGCCGCCAAGGUCCUAGGUGUCAUCGCCGACGACUGCCGGAAUCCCGACGUCAAAGGUGAAAACUUCUUCGAAUACGGCCGCCGCCUCAUGUCGGAACGAUGGGGAAAGCUCCGGGAAGUGGGGAUGAAAAGCAAUGGUGUUUUCAGCCUGCCUAAUUACCCACGAGAUUAUUGCAAAUUCACCGGCGAAUACACUGAUUCAAACCCUGGUAUAUAAAUGCUUUUCUUAUUUGCUUGUUAUAAAUAACACUGAUGUUUAGUCCUUUAACUUGCUUUUUCCAUAUUAGUCUGAAAAUUUGGCCCAGUAGUGAUGUGUCAGUUUAAAAAAAUUCUAAGCGAUGAUAUGGUAUAAUCUCAUAGUACCAUGUGAUCCAUGUCAUUACAUCUUAAUAGAAUCUAAAUUUAUGGAUCAAAUUAAGGAAAACAGUAAAGUUUUGAGAUUAAUGUGGAUCGAAAAAAAGUCAAGACACCAUGAUGAGAAAAGUUGGCAAAUUUAGGGACUAAAUGUUAGUUUAUUCGUUCAUGAAACCUUAUUAUAUUUAACUUUCUUUUCCUUUUGUUGAUGCAGCCUUUGCAUGGUUGAAGAGCAAGGAGGGUUUGAACUGUGAGAAUCUGUUAAGAGAUGAAAGCAAAAUAAUCACAAGGGGCGGGCCGAGUUUUGGUGUUGACUCAACAUACACAAGGGUUAGCAUGCUGAGUCGUGAUGUCGAGUUUGAGCUUCUGUUGGAAAGGUUGGCGGCCGUCAAAGGAACCGUCAAUGGAAGUUAGGGUUUAUUUAUCAUAGAAUAUGUGCCCUCUUUAAUGGAAAUUAAGGUUGAUCUAUAAUAGAAUAUGCCCUCGUCAAAGGAGCCAUAUCAAUGGAAAUUAGGGUUUAUCUAUAAUAAUUGUAUUAAAAUUUACAUGAGUUUGUAAGUCAUGUAUGCUAAUCUAAUUAAGAUAAAUUCAAUAUCUUUCCAAACCCCCAAAAAAUACCAGUCCCUUUUAAAAUUUAAAAUAUAUUUUUAAAUAAAUAUAUGAUCGAUAAAUAAUAUAAAUUUAUCUCUCUAAAUCGUAUUUCUGAAUUUAUCGCUGCACUUAUCAAUAUUUUAAUAUUUUUAUAUAUAAUAAAAGAUUAUAUUAUAUAUUUCAAAGUAGGAAAGGGGUUACAAUUUUUUUACAAGAGAUAAGGUUACAUAUAAGAAUUAAAUUUUAGAUCUCAAAAUAUUUUAAUUUCACAUAACUCAAUCUCACUCAUAAACAUUUUUAAUUCAUGUUCUUUUUCUAUUGUAUUUUCUAUUAUAUUUUAUAUCAACUAAUAUUUUAAUUUUUAUGACACAAACUUCGUGCUUUGACCUUUGAUUCUUUUUUCUAAUUUUCCAUUAUUCCGUUUGGUACUUAAAUAAUAAUUAAAAUAAUAAUAAAGGAGAGAUUCACUUGUAUGAAAGUAAAUUAUAAAAUUAAAGUAGUUUUACUUAAUUUUAUUAUUUUCUGUAUAAUUAAUAAUUAAUAAUUUAAUAAUUUAAUUUAUUAAUAUAAUAAUACUUGUUCGUAAAUGUUUUAAUUAUUCUGAUAUUACUAUCUUUAAUUUUAUUAUUUUCUGUAUAAUUAAUAAUUAAUAAUUUAAUAAUUUAAUUUAUUAAUAUAAUAAUACUUGUUCGUAAAUGUUUUAAUUAUUCUGAUAUUACUAUUAUAUAAAUUUAAAAUACAAUAUAUAUAUAUAUAAAUAUUCAACAAUUGAAAGCUUUUUUUUAUAUAAAUUAAAUAGUUAAAAUUUAAAUUUAUACCAAAUUUAACAUGCAUUAUCUAUGUGAAUGAAACAUAAAAUAUAAUAGUUAGAUUAUGAUAUACAUGAGUGAGAAAAAAAUUGAUGUAGAAAACAAAUAAAGCUUUACUUAAAAUAAUAAAGUUGGGGUGUUUGAAAAUCGUGUAUUUUAAAUUUAAAUAUAUAUUUUAAUUCAAUAUAAAAGACAAACACAUCUAUAGUAAUAUUUAGGUUAAAAUAUGUCAUAGGUCCUUACACUUUUCACAAAAUUAGAAUUUAGUUUCAUAUUUUCAUUUACAGGAAUUUAGUUUAUUUACUUUUCAAAUUUUCAAUUUGUUAACACUGUUAUUUUUGUGGUACUUGGUAGCGGUGUAACUAAAAAAAAGACCUUGUAAUGAAUUUAAAUUUAACAAAAUAAUUUCAAUAGUAUUAACAGUCAGACCUAAAUUUUGAAAUCUAAAAAGUAGAGGGAUUAAAUUUUUAGGAAUAAAAGUAUAGAGACUAAAUUUUAAAUUUACGAAGGGUAUAGAGACUAUGUCAUAUUUUAACCUAAUAUUAUUACUUUGUAAAUAAAAUGAAUUUUUAGUAAUUUCACAACUAAGUUAAUCUUAAAUCAUAAUAUAGAUCAUGAUAGUUCGAAUCAAACCAGACCGAUUGGGAUAUCAAUUUCGAGAGAGGCAUCAGAUCAAUUGAUUAACUAAUCGAGCUAAAAAUCGAGUGAAUCAAUUGAACUAAUUAUUAUUAUUUUAAAAUAUUUUCAUAAUUAUUUAUUUAAUUUAACCAUUCGAACCAAUGAAAUCAAUAACUUGCCCAAUUCAACCUCAAGUCGGAUUCUGAAACCUUAAUAUAAACUAUUUUUUAACCUCAUUAUAAAUUUUGAUAAUAUCUAUCUUUUUUGACAUAAUACUUAAAAUACGCAUAAUUUCUCUCUCACCCAUAAAUAAAAAGAUAAUACGCUUUAUUAUAUUCGAACUCACGUACUCAUGCGCCAAGAUAUGCUAGAAUAAACUAAAUUUAGAUGAUAAUAAUAAUAAUAAUAAUAAUAAUAAUAAUAAUAAUAAUAAUAAUAAAUAAAAUUAACAUAAAUGCGCCAGCGAGCAACCACGUAGGCGCAAUUUUUCAAAUUGAGCAAACAGCGUAGUGGAUAAAACUCCAUUUGUUUCACCUCGUCAUCUCCGCAAAACCCACCUUCAACGCCUUAAAAGCCGUUUUUUUUUUCCUUACUUUUUUCAUUUGCUCCAAAAAAAUAAGGAGGAAAAGAAAAAACAACGGCCAACAAAUUCAUCAAAGAAACUCAAAAAAAUGCGAGCUCUACUCUCACCAGAAUCUUCUUCUCUUUAUUUCACUUCAAUCAAUAUCGUUUCUCGAGAUCCAAAUCCAUGCCGAUCUCGGACCUCUCUUUAUUUUUUGAAAAGAGACGGCGGCUGCCGUUUGAUUCGCCGGAAAACUCGUUCGACCGCCGUGAAGGCGUUGCUUGAUUCGGCGACUAUAGAGGAGCUAGGUCUUAAAGAAUCUGAUAUGAGAAAUCCGGCGAUUUCUUCUAC
Molecule: long non-coding RNA, 6375 nt
Filed under: Gossypium raimondii (Peruvian cotton)
Lineage: Eukaryota; Viridiplantae; Streptophyta; Magnoliopsida; Malvales; Malvaceae
Description: long non-coding RNA (GRAI_LNC010202)
Source: RNAcentral